ACCACUGAGAGUACAGAAAACACCUGUGAGAAAGGCUGGCAUCCAGGGUGGGAAACCUCUUUUGAGGGCGUGAACCAGGAUAUGAAGCAGCAUUUGAAUUCUUGCUGCUCUCUUCUGGAGUAGUGGGAUAUUGGGCAGUUCACUUAACUUCUCUGAGCUCCUUCCUCAAGCCUUUUUUUCCUGACUACAGUGAGCAACAGCUGUUUGAGAUGGUGGAGCACAUUCUUGCUGGUGAAAGGAAGCAAGGUCAACAGAGACUCAUAGAGGAAACAUUCAACAACUUGAACAGUAAGCAAUUUGCAGUUUCCGUCUCAGUGGACUGAGGUGAUACAGCAGAUUUUGCUGUGGACCGAGAUCCAGUUUUCCUCAUAACACUCACAGCUUUGGACCCCUGCACCUGCUGCUAUGCUACACUGGAGGAAACAGAGCUCUGCAAGACCCUCAGCAACUGCUUCCCAAGUACAUAAGAGGAAAACAAACCAAACCAAACCACCAACACACACACAUGUUCACACAGACACAUACAUGUGUGGGAUAAGAGGCAGAGCUAGAGUCCAUUUUCCAGGUCAGACUUGGGACUCCAAGCCUGACUUUGGAGUGAUUCAAAUCACCUUCCACCUAUUUUGCUGCUUGUUCAGUUCAGUACACGUUAAGAAUGGCCCCCAACCAACAGGGAACUGGUUUGGUUAUCUUCCUUUGCCUUUCAAAUUCACCCAAGCAAAGAUAAAAGUAUUAAAUGACUAAUCCAGAUCCCCAGCACCACAUCAAGCUCCUCAGGGUUCCUCUUCAAAGCACUGGGCACUUUGAAAGAUAACUGUAAAGGUCACAUUUGUAAUAUAAGCAAGAACUUCUUAAACAGACAUGUAAGUAACUGCACAUAGACAUGACAUGUCAUAGCUCGAGAAAUCUUUUAAAGUAAAGUUUACGCCAAAUUAACUUCCAACAGCUCCGACUCUCCAGACCAUUCUUGGUACUCUUAAUGACAGACUGUGCAGCCCAAAGCCUGCAGCUGCAGUGUCAGGACAAAUUAGCCUAAAGUGGAACAAAAGUCAAUGUGAAGAAACGUGGUAUCCGGCAAGGUCUGACUUUUGAAAUUCUGAGAUUGAUGACAUUUUAAAGGUGUAGGUAUAACAGAAUGUGUUUUCCAUAUUUGUAAGCAAUUCUAGGUUCCUGAGCACUGAGAGAAAAGCAAAGUUAAUUUCUCACCGUAGGAGAAGGCCUCAUUAUUUUUGUGCACAUACCUGACUGUCCUGUGAUCAAGAAAAGGCAUCUUUUAAAAGAAUCGUUUUGAAAUGUUUAUCUCUUAUUUGAAAUCCAAGAAAGAGAGUAGACAUUCAUUUCCAAAGAGGACCAUAAAUCAUAUAACGCUGGGAGAAAGGUCAACACCACCAGCACAGUACAGUUUUCUCACGUAUGCUUAAGGAUUUUCAGAAUCUCCAAAUAAUAGCAUGAUGUAAACUUUGAAUAAAAAAGAACACCAUCAAGACUCCACUGAACAAAGAACGUCUGACUGGAAAUGCUUACGGCACCCUUCACAUGGUUGGGCAACUUUCCUCUACUGUUCCACCCCUUCUGCCUGUGCAGCUGCCAGAGUUAACUUAUCUUUAUCAGAAUCACAAAGGAACACUCUCCUGCUUAUUUACAAGGCUAAAAUGACAUCUGGUGGCGCUCUUCUCUGAGAACUCAGUCACUGUUCCUGGAAAAUGAUUCAAAAGCACAAACUUUUGCAGGGCAACUGUAGGAGUAUUCUUGUGCAUGUGUGUUAAGUACUAACUGCUGAUGUUGCUCAAAUGUUCCGCUAGUCCCUGUAGCCUCACAAUGUUUUAUUCAUUGUCCUGUGAUCAAUUCAAAAAAGCCAUCUUUUAUAAGAAUGGUUUUGAAGUGUUUAUCUUUUAUUUGAACAUCCAAGAAAGAGUAGACAUUGACUUCCACAGGGGACCAUAACUCCUAUAAUGCCUGAAGGUGCUUAAAAUAUAGUGAACUGUGUUAAAGUUAAUAGGAUACAUCAUUAGUGUGUUAAAAAAUGUAAAAUGGUGACAUACUAUCAGCUCACCUGGGUAAGGAAAAUAUGGCUAAAGUACCUCUAAAGGUAUCUACUCAUUAAGUAUACUGACCAAACUUCAGACAUUUUACUUCGACCACAGAAAGUAUUAUUUGAAAAAAACAAUCAUUACAAAAUUAUAUAUUUAAUUAGGAAGUAAAACCUAAAUCUGUAUUUACUAGCAAUACCAACUUUAAAUAUUCUAGUUGCAGCUGACAACAGAAAUUCUAACAUGCAUAUGUUGUUGCGUAAUAGCCUCUUUUUCCUAGUUGGGUAUGUUUGUAGAGACAGAAAGGUCCCCUGACCAAUUGUGCAAUAGAGCCCCAAGAUACUUAAGCCUGGAACUACUCUCUCAGACUUAACAAGAUGUUCAUCUUAAUUUCUAUCAGAUUGGGACAAAACAUUCACUCUUUAGAUAAUAGAGGAGAGACUAAAGAACAUGUCAUAAUAGUCAAAUUUGUGCCAAUGUUAAAUCUAUCCCUUUAAAAACAUGUAUUAUUGUGAGGCCACAGGGAUUAGUGCAACAUUUGAACAGAAUCAGCAGUUAGUACUUAACACACAUGCACAAGAAUACUCCUACAGUUGCCCUGCAACCAAGAAGCUAAUAAAAGAGCCAGGCUUUUCAAAUGAACACCUCGAUGAUGACACCAUUAGUUAUUCAGCAAAAAUAAAUGCUUCAUUAACUUGUCUUCCCACUGUUAAAGGAUAGGAUGAAUUUACCUCAAGGCAGCAACUCAGAUAUUAACGUUCCCUUACAUUUUAGAGCUCACUAUGCAGAAAUACCAGAAAUAAGGUGACUUAAAACUCAAUUUGUCUGUAAAAUACACUGGCCUUUGGAAUCCAGAAACCCACUUGGUCCUGACUGCCAAUUACUUGACCUUCCUUUUGUUACUUGACCUCUCUGGAUCUCACUAAACUCAUUUGUGAGACAAAAGAGGAGAUGUCCAAAGUUUUUUCAUCUCAAAUAUGUUACGAUUUAGAUUCAACAAUUAUUUUUCCAAUUCCUACCACACACCCCGAAUACUGAGGUCACGCUGAGGUAUUAUUUGCCUAAGACUCUCGUAAAUGACUCAAUAAGGGAUCAACUCCAUCAGUGCAGUGGCCAGCAUUGAGUGAUCAGCAAAAAUAUCUCAUUGAGUAUUUCUAUGAUGUCACAGCUGUGCCUUUUAACAUAAUAUAACUUGAAUGUAUGCCUCUUAUCUAUUAAAAAAAUUACAAAUU
RNAcentral lists this non-coding RNA (3262 nucleotides) under Pan troglodytes (chimpanzee). Lineage: Eukaryota; Metazoa; Chordata; Mammalia; Primates; Hominidae. The record is from RNAcentral.